AUUGAACGCUGGCGGCAUGCUUUACACAUGCAAGUCGAGCGGCAGCGCGGGGGCAACCCUGGCGGCGAGCGGCGAACGGGUGAGUAAUGCAUCGGAACGUACCCUGGAGUGGGGGAUAACGCCGCGAAAGCGGCGCUAAUACCGCAUAUGCUCUGAGGAGGAAAGUGGGGGACCUGCAAGGGCCUCACGCUCUGGGAGCGGCCGAUGUCCGAUUAGCUAGUUGGUGGGGUAAAGGCUUACCAAGGCGACGAUCGGUAGCUGGUCUGAGAGGAUGAUCAGCCACACUGGGACUGAGACACGGCCCAGACUCCUACGGGAGGCAGCAGUGGGGAAUUUUGGACAAUGGGGGCAACCCUGAUCCAGCCAUGCCGCGUGAGUGAAGAAGGCCUCGG
Molecule: ribosomal RNA, 392 nt
Filed under: uncultured bacterium
Lineage: Bacteria
Description: bacterial SSU rRNA
Rfam family: Bacterial small subunit ribosomal RNA
Source: RNAcentral